This is a long non-coding RNA of Mercurialis annua (annual mercury), 921 nucleotides long. RefSeq lists it as uncharacterized. The record is from RefSeq and is a predicted model, not a curated record. The transcript is spliced from 4 exons. NCBI's taxonomy places the organism in Eukaryota, Viridiplantae, Streptophyta, Magnoliopsida, Malpighiales, Euphorbiaceae.
AUGGAGGUGGCAAUCUUAAGGACUAAAGAGAGCACUUUGCCAAGCUUUAUAAGCCCAUUAGCUUAUGAAUAUUAAGCCUUCAAGAACUGAUUUCCAGCAAAGAGAAAGAAGAUGAACCCAUCAUCUUCUUCAAAGUUCUCAAAAUUUCUAAGGCUUGGGGUUUAUUCGUUUGACAUCGGAUUCACGUGAUUUUCGCGGCGUUGGAACGAGGAGAAGAUUGUCUACUGAUCUAACCUAUCAAUUAAAGAUUCUUCGUUACACAUCGGAAUUGAGUGAUUUUCGCGGCGACGGAAAGAGGGGAGGAAGACCUACUGAUAUACAGCUUCAAUUCAAGACGCAUCGACGCAGCACGUAAUCGUCGGAGUUAGCUUAACGGGGUUCGGCUAUCAUUUUAAUGUCGUGCUUAUUGGAUGGCGAAUUUUGUACCUAGACUUGGAGUGACUAGAAGUCCAUCAUUUUUCCGAGAGUCUGUCUUGCCAUGUACAGACCGGCUUCCGUGACCGCUGCAGUAGUACAUUGUGUGACCAGUCAUGACCUAGGAUAAUAUUAUAGUUUUGGAAAAUGUUUAUAACGAUGUUAGAUUUACGUAGCCAGUGUUUACAAAAUAACUAUUAAUGUUUUCAUAAUUAAAUGCUUCCGUGUUAUAACAUAAUUGCGAAAAAUUUAUAGUGAAUUUCAGGCUUGCUACGGGAUUCGGAACUACAAUUCCCAUUCCCUAGAGCCGGUCGCGGCCCUCGAUUUUGGGUCGUGACAAAGUUGGUAUCAGAGCAGUUGGUCCAGUUACCACUGCCAGUCUAUUAAAAGUGUCUAUUUGACCUUAAGUACCUAGGAACUACUGCAGCGUAUAGAGUCGAGCCUUAUUGACUAUAUGUGUUUGAUUGAAUUUGUUUGAUGCUAUAUACUCUCUAUGGCCGAGUAGAA